RNAcentral lists this ribosomal RNA (450 nucleotides) under uncultured bacterium. Its description in RNAcentral is "bacterial SSU rRNA". It matches the Rfam family "Bacterial small subunit ribosomal RNA", at positions 354 to 796 of the family's 1533-position model. The record is from RNAcentral.
GUGAGGAAUAUUGGGCAAUGGGCGAAAGCCUGACCCAGCCACGCCGCGUGAGUGAUGAAGGCCUUCGGGUUGUAAAGCUCUGUGGGGAGGGAAGAAAAAGCGCAGGAGUAACUGCCUGUGUGUUGACGGUACCUCCUUAGCAAGCACCGGCUAACUCUGUGCCAGCAGCCGCGGUAAUACAGAGGGUGCAAACGUUGCUCGGAAUUACUGGGCGUAAAGCGCGUGUAGGCUGACAUGCAAGUCGGGUGUGAAAUCCCGGGGCUAAACCUUGGAACUGCACUCGAAACUGCACGUCUUGAGUACUGGAGAGGGCAGCGGAAUUCCGGGUGUAGAGGUGAAAUUCGUAGAUAUCCGGAGGAACACCAGUGGCGAAAGCGACUUCCUGGACAGUAACUGACGCUGAGACGCGAAAGCGUGGGGAGCAAACAGGAUUAGAAACCCGUGUAGUCC